RNAcentral lists this long non-coding RNA (2185 nucleotides) under Homo sapiens (human). Its description in RNAcentral is "HSALNT0009134". Lineage: Eukaryota; Metazoa; Chordata; Mammalia; Primates; Hominidae. The record is from RNAcentral.
GGAAAAGGUAAAAGAAAAGAAGAGAAUGAAUUGCAGCUGAGGAAGUGGAAGAGCGAGAAGCGCUUCCAGAUACCAGGUGAUGGUGUGCCAGUUCUGCUCUCUGCUGUAUCUGUGUCCUGUUUCCUUAUGUCGUUUGUAAUUUUUGAUCACAAGCACAUUUUCAACAAGCUCAUUGGAGCCACCAGCUGAAAGCAAGGGAGUGAAUGAGCCCAGCCCCGAGUGGAGCAGAAGGAGCCCAACCAGCGAAGCCCAGCCUGAAUUCCUGACUAACAGACUUAACAGGUGGAUUUUUGGGUUUGCUGAAGAAGAAAAAGAAGGAGAAGGAGAAGGAGAAGAAGAAGAGAAGUGUGAUUAACAAGAAAAAAACUUAUUUGGGGGCUAUGAACACCUUGAAUAUUUAACAGAAUAUCAGCUACUCAUCUGUAACCAUUCACUACAUAGCUAAACUUUUAGUAAUAAUGUAGGUAUUCUCUGGCCAAGAGAAAGAUAGGAUGUGUGUGUGUGUGUGUGUGUGUGUGUGUGUGUGUGUGUGUGUGUGUGUUUAACAGAAGAAAAUGGAAAGAAAAUAAAAUAAAGGAUAUUUUGGAGUCAGUGAGUAAAUAUUUACUUUUAGAGUAUAGCAUGUUUUAAUGGAAUAUGAUGUGUAGGACUGGAGGAAAAAUAACAAAUAUAUUUACUUAUAAUUACUUAUUAUUUUUACAAACUCUACUUACUAAAAAUUAUUUGAGACAGCUCACAUUUAUCCAACAAACACUGCUGAACACCUCAUAUAUCCUUUGCCUAAAUUUGUUGAGAGUAAGUACAGAGCACCACAUGAGUCAGAAUUCAUAAUGGCAUGUACAAGGAAUGUGAUCACUAGUAGGAGGCAAUUCUCUAUGGACUUCCUAAGUUUCUGUAUGUCUUGUGAUAAGAGGUAGAGAAUGCCUUUGUUAUAGAUUAUCUUUUCAAGGAUAUUUGCAUUAUUGACUAGCCUUGGGGGAGAAAAAGGGAGAGACAUAAAGACAGAAAGAAUAUUUCCCUCAAGAGCAAUAGGCCAGCAUGCUUACUGCCUAUUAUAAAGUAUUUGAGUUCCCUAAGCUCAGGAUUUUUUCCUUUUAAACAAAACCCACAGUGGCUUGGUUUUCUUCAAGUUACCAUGUGGGAACUGGGGCUUGGGGAAUGGGUGCAAUUGCUGUAAUAAGUAGUCCCAUAACUGUAAGUAAUAAAUAGUUCUACAUCUCUGGCCCAGGGGUCUUGUAGCUUCAUCCAACAGCCAUAAAAAUGUGUAAGUAAUUUCUUAGUUUGUAUGUGGGGUAAACUUCCAGACCCUUAACAAAUUUUGUUAUUUGCUUUGAGUAUUUGCAUUUUAUUCAGACAAAUACUUGAGCCAAACUUGUACUUUCUCAAGGAAAAAUAUACACUAUCAUAUUUAAUUUUCUUGUUAAAUUUAAACUCAAAAACCUCCCCAGGGGAAAAUGAGUAAAGGAUGUUGUAAAAGAAAGAAGAGUCAAAAUGGAAUGAUGAGAGUACCAAAAAUAGGCUGGGUUUAGUGGCUCAUGCCUGUAAUCUGAGCACUUUGGGAGACCACGGUGGAAGAGUCGCUUGAGGCCAGGAGUUCAAGACCAGCAUAAGCAACAUAGCAAGACCCCAUCUCUAUUAAAAAAAAAAAAAGUAAACAAAUAGACAAACAAAAAAUACCAAAAAUAAUGAAAAACCAAAAAAACAGGUCAAGAAAAGAGUAGAGCACAGGCAUUAAACUUUUAAAAAUGUCUUUAGACAAAUGUUGUUUAAAAAUAUUUUAGAUUCAUCCAGUGGUUAUGCUAAUAGACAUACUUUUGCUGAAAAUAUGGACAAGGGCUAGUUUAUAGGGAGAGAGGUGGUUGACUAUUCUUCACUAAUUUUUAAAUGGCAAAGUUUUAUUACAGUUAAAGAAUGGAAACAGACAGCUGUGAAUAAUUCAUUUAAAAUGUAAGCUGAUGAAAGAAGGAGACAGACAUUUUUCUAGUGUUCAAAUUACGCGGUGCUUGUCCUAAAUACUGCUGAAUUCACCACUUGGAAGGGAAGACAAAUCUUAUUUGGAACGUGCCAUUAUUUAGUAUGUAAUUUCUUAAUAUCUCUUAAUUAUAAAGGUGUCAGUGAAAACCACAAACUCAGUUAUUUAAAUCUUUGAUGCUUUUGAAAAUUCAGCUAUCUUCAUCUAUUAGAC